CGGACGGGUGAGUAACGCGUGGAAAACCUGCCGUAUACUGGGGGAUAACACUUAGAAAUAGGUGCUAAUACCGCAUAAGCGCACAGCUUCGCAUGAAGCAGUGUGAAAAACUCCGGUGGUAUACGAUGGUUCCGCGUCUGAUUAGCUAGUUGGUGAGGUAAAAGCCCACCAAGGCAACGAUCAGUAGCCGGCCUGAGAGGGUGAACGGCCACAUUGGGACUGAGACACGGCCCAGACUCCUACGGAAGGCAGCAG
This 255-nucleotide ribosomal RNA is filed under the name uncultured bacterium. RNAcentral's name for it is "partial 16S ribosomal RNA". It matches the Rfam family "Bacterial small subunit ribosomal RNA", at positions 99 to 354 of the family's 1533-position model. The record is from RNAcentral.